Long non-coding RNA from Eriocheir sinensis (Chinese mitten crab), 426 nucleotides. RefSeq lists it as uncharacterized. NCBI's taxonomy places the organism in Eukaryota, Metazoa, Arthropoda, Malacostraca, Decapoda, Varunidae. The record is from RefSeq and is a predicted model, not a curated record. The transcript has 3 exons.
GUCACAAGUACAAGUGCAGACUUACCAGUGCCCAUGCCUCAACCUGGGCCUUCUACGGAACAAAUGCAUACGGAGCACGCAUAUCCAUUACCAGCUGAAGUUACACCUGACAGUAGGAUUUCUGAGCUGGGAACCCAGGUGGAAUCAUUACGUAGAAAGCUCAAGAACACAAAGGCCAGAGAGAAGAGGGCAAAAGAAACGACCCAAUCAUUGCUGAAGGAGUUGGAAGAAAAAAAUCUGAUAAAUGCAGAGCUUGAGGUUCGCCUGGAAUCUUACAAAGACAUACCAUGUGACCUCUUCCAAAAACCAACAAAGGAGUAUAGUGCUGCACAGAAAAACUUUGCCCUAACAUUACACCUCUACUCAAGCAAGGCGUACAGGUACACCAGAGAGACGAAGGGAAUCAACCUUCCUGAGCCGCGUACG